RNAcentral lists this ribosomal RNA (465 nucleotides) under uncultured bacterium. RNAcentral describes it as "partial 16S ribosomal RNA". It matches the Rfam family "Bacterial small subunit ribosomal RNA", at positions 28 to 507 of the family's 1533-position model. The record is from RNAcentral.
GACGAACGCUGGCGGCGUGCUUAACACAUGCAAGUCGAACGGAAAGGCCCUGCUUGCAGGGUACUCGAGUGGCGAACGGGUGAGUAACACGUGGGUGAUCUGCCCUGCACUUCGGGAUAAGCCUGGGAAACUGGGUCUAAUACCGGAUAGGAGCCAUUUUUAGUGUGAUGGUUGGAAAGUUUUUUCGGUGUAGGAUGAGCUCGCGGCCUAUCAGCUUGUUGGUGGGGUAAUGGCCUGCCAAGGCGGGGGCGGGUAGCCGGCCUGGGAGGGUGGGCGGGCACAUUGGGACUGAGGUACGGCCCAGACUCCUACGGGAGGCAGCAGGGGGGAAUAUUGCACAAUGGGCGCAAGCCUGAUGCAGCGACGCCGCGUGGGGGAUGACGGGCUUCGGGUUGUAAAAUCCUUUCGCUAGGGACGAAGCUUUUUGUGACGGUACCUAGAUAAGAAGCACCGGCUAACUACGUG